UACGUAGGGUGCAAGCGUUGUCCGGAAUUAUUGGGCGUAAAGAGCUCGUAGGCGGUUUGUUGCGUCGGCUGUGAAAUCCCGAGGCUCAACCUCGGGUCUGCAGUCGAUACGAGCAAACUAGAGUGUUGCAGGGGAGACUGGAAUUCCUGGUGUAGCGGUGAAAUGCGCAGAUAUCAGGAGGAACACCAGCGGCGAAGGCGGCACUCUGGGCUGGUACUGACGCUGAGGAGCGAAAGCGUGGGUAGCAAACAGG
Molecule: ribosomal RNA, 253 nt
Filed under: uncultured bacterium
Lineage: Bacteria
Description: partial 16S ribosomal RNA
Rfam family: Bacterial small subunit ribosomal RNA
Source: RNAcentral